AGAAUCAACGCUGGCGGCGUGCCUAACACAUGCAAGUCGAACGAGAAAGGGUAGCAAUACCCAAGUAAAGUGGCGCACGGGUGAGUAACACGUGACUAACCUACCCUGGAGUGGGGGAUAACUGAGGGAAACCUUAGCUAAUACCGCAUAACACCUACGGGUCAAAGGAGCAAUUCGCUUCAGGAGGGGGUCGCGGCCGAUUAGUUAGUUGGCGGGGUAAAGGCCCACCAAGACGAUGAUCGGUAUCC
RNAcentral lists this ribosomal RNA (248 nucleotides) under uncultured bacterium. Its description in RNAcentral is "partial small subunit ribosomal RNA". It matches the Rfam family "Bacterial small subunit ribosomal RNA", at positions 26 to 288 of the family's 1533-position model. The record is from RNAcentral.